This 253-nucleotide ribosomal RNA is filed under the name uncultured bacterium. Its description in RNAcentral is "partial 16S ribosomal RNA". It matches the Rfam family "Bacterial small subunit ribosomal RNA", at positions 524 to 776 of the family's 1533-position model. The record is from RNAcentral.
UACGUAGGGGGCAAGCGUUGUCCGGAUUUAUUGGGCGUAAAUAGCUUGUAGGCGGUUUGGUAGGUUCGCUGUUAAAACUCGAGGCUCAACCUCGAGACGCCGGCGGAAACCAUCAGGCUAGAGUCCGGAAGAGGAGAGUGGAAUUCCUGGUGUAGCGGUGAAAUGCGCAGAUAUCAGGAAGAACACCCGUGGCUAAGGCGGCUCUCUAGUACGGUACUGACGCUGAGACGCGAAAGCGUGGGGAGCGAACAGG